AUUGAACGCUGGCGGAAUGCUUUACACAUGCAAGUCGAACGGCAGCACGGGGGCAGCCCUGGUGGCGAGUGGCGAACGGGUGAGUAAUACAUCGGAACGUGCCCGGUCGUGGGGGAUAACGUAGCGAAAGUUACGCUAAUACCGCACACGAUCUGAGGAUGAAAGCGGGGGACCUUCGGGCCUCGCGCGAUCGGAGCGGCCGAUGUCAGAUUAGUAGUUGGGGGGGUAAAGGCCUACCAAGCCGACGAUCUGUAGCUGGUCUGAGAGGACGACCAGCCACACUGGGACUGAGACACGGCCCAGACUCCUACGGGAGGCAGCAGUGGGGAAUUUUGGACAAUGGGCGCAAGCCUGAUCCAGCCAUUCCGCGUGCAGGACGAAGGCCUUCGGGUUGUAAACUGCUUUUGUACGGAACGAAAAGGCUCUGGCUAAUACCUGGGGCUCAUGACGGUACCGUAAGAAUAAGCACCGGCUAACUACGUG
RNAcentral lists this ribosomal RNA (483 nucleotides) under uncultured bacterium. RNAcentral's name for it is "partial 16S ribosomal RNA". It matches the Rfam family "Bacterial small subunit ribosomal RNA", at positions 29 to 507 of the family's 1533-position model. The record is from RNAcentral.